AAUGUUGCUUAUGUGUCAGUCUGUCUGGGCCAUGUGCACAGAGGGCAUUGGGAAAUAUCUCUGACCAAUCACUCAAAAGAAGUGACUCUCCUCACUUGCCUGGACUCUGCUCACAAUAGAGAUUUUCACAAAUCACUGGGUACAGCACCUAGGUGAUGGGGCUCUUCUUUCCUGGGCUCUUCCAUCAGAGAAGAUUGUGAUGUUUUCUGAGCCCAGCACUCAAGUGAGGUGACUUGUCUCCCUGGGCCCUCCCACAGAGAGCAUUGUGAACAUCUUUGGGAUCAUCACCUAGGUUACUGGGAUCUCAAUGUAAAUGUUAUGCCCUUACAGAGGCUGCUGUGAGCUGAAUCGUCUGCCUCCCAGAAUGUAUAUGUUGAUACCUUAACCCCCAGCACCUAAGAAUGUGACUAUAUUUGGAGAAAGCAUCAUCACAGAGUCUCAGGGAUGUCUUUAUCAGCAGUAUGGAAAGGAACUAAUUCAUCCCACUUCACUGUUUGAAGUAAAACUGCCAGUUCUAUGGGGUCUUCAGUUUACUGAAUAUUUCCUAGGUGCCUGGCCCUAAUUCACUGGUGAGUCAAGAAAGCUGCCACCUUAUGGUGCUCACUGGGUGGCUGUGGAUGUCUAACCUCAGUGCCAGCUGCACAGAACCUGAAGCCAGGCUGGUUGCUCCAUCUAAAUGGCAUGGAAUCCCAGGGAAUAUCCUGCAUUCUCAGUGUCCAGCUGUCUGAGGCCACAGUUGUUUAUGAUGAUCGAAAACAACUGCUUUUUUCUGAGGAGACUUACCACCCCAUGGCUGACGAGUUUUGUGAUAAAGCGGCUGCUUCCAAUACCAGAUGGUAUCUCUAUUGGGACAAAAUUAAAUUUCUGAAUUGCUUCUAAAAAAAUGAUGAUUGAGUGAUAUUGAGUGUUUCUACCUUAGAACAUGAUUUGGUUUUCCAUUUGUUUUUGCUGAUUUUCUUAUAUUUCAAGGACUUUUUAUGGUCUUUCUCAUAUGCUUAACAAAUGUUUGUUAGAUUUAUGUAUAGCUAGUUUAUUUUAUUUUUGUCCUGUUAAAAAGUAAACUGUAGCACAAUAUAAAUUUUAAAAGUUUUCUUGGAUGGGAAUGAUGGCUCAUAUCUGUGAUUCCAGCACUUUGAGAGGCCAAGUUGAGGGGAUUACUUGAGCCCAGGAGUUUGAGGCCAGCCUGGGAAACAUGGUAAGACCCUGUGUCUACAAAACAUAAGAAGAAAUUAGCCAGGUGUGGUGGUGCAUGCCUGUAGUUGCAGCUACUCAUGGGGCUAAGGGGGAUGAUGGCUUGAGCUUCAGAUGCAAGGCUGCAGAGAGCUUUCUGUGUGCACACUCCAGCAUGGACAAUAAAGCAAGAACCUGUUUUAAAAAUAUUUUCUUCAGUAAGAAGCAACUUAUGAAUUGUGGAACACUAGAGCAAGAGAGGAUUACCACUUCAAUGGCAAAGUGUCAGAGUCAACAAGAUGAGGUCACUGAGGAUGUCUAACUGAUUCUGCCCACUCAGGAAUGUUUUGGAUUUGGUCUCCCUUUUAAUUUACUUUUAUAAAUCAUUUUGUAAUUUUUAUCUCCUACCCAUUCUGUAACAGAUAUUGGAUUUCUUACAAAUUCAAGGCUUUUUGCAACCCUAUAUUGAGUGACUCUAUUACACUAUUUUUGCAACAUCAUGUGACCUUUGUGUGUGUUUACAUCUGUGUCAGCAUUUUUUUGCAAUAAAGUACAUUUUUUAUUAAAGUAGGUACA
Chlorocebus sabaeus (green monkey) is the source of this 1746-nucleotide non-coding RNA. Lineage: Eukaryota; Metazoa; Chordata; Mammalia; Primates; Cercopithecidae. The record is from RefSeq and is a predicted model, not a curated record.